Molecule: ribosomal RNA, 253 nt
Filed under: uncultured bacterium
Lineage: Bacteria
Description: partial 16S ribosomal RNA
Rfam family: Bacterial small subunit ribosomal RNA
Source: RNAcentral
UACGAAGGGUGCUAGCGUUGUUCGGAAUUACUGGGCGUAAAGCGCGCGUAGGCGGCUUGGAAAGUUGGGAGUGAAAUCCCGGGGCUUAACCUCGGAAUUGCUUUCAAAACUGCCGAGCUAGAGUAUGGUAGGGGAUAGUGGAAUUCCUAGUGUAGAGGUGAAAUUCGUAGAUAUUAGGAGGAACACCAGAGGCGAAGGCGGCUAUCUGGACCAUUACUGACGCUAAGGCGCGAAAGCGUGGGGAGCAAACAGG